AUGAAAGAGCAUAUAUAUAUUUUUCUGCCUUAUAUAUGUGUGUGCGUGUGUGUAUUAAAAGAACAUAGAUUUGUAUUGCCAUAUCUCUCUAUGCCAUAUCUAUCUAUCCAUCUAUCUUUCUGCCAUAUCUAUCUAUCAAUACCAUAUCUAUAUAUGCCAUAUCUAUAUAUGCCAUAUCUAUGUAUCUACGCCAUACCUAUCUAUGUCAUAUCUAUCUAUAUGCGAUAUCUAUCUAUCCCAUAUCUAUGUAUCUAUGCCAUUAUCUAUCAAUCCAAUAUCUAUCUAUCUAUUUAUCUGUAUGCCAUAUCUAUCAAUCUAUGUCAUAUCUAUCUAUAUGCCACAUCUAUCUAUCUAUAUGCCAUAUCUAUAUGUGCCAUGUCUAUAGAUGCCAUAUCUAUCUAUCCAAUAUCUAUCUAUCUAUCUCUAUCUGUAUGCCAUAUCUAUCAAUCUAUGUCAUAUCUGUCUAUAUGCCACAUCUAUCUAUCUAUCUGCAUAUCUAUGCCAUAUCUAUGUAUCUAUGCCAUUAUCUAUCAGUCCAAUAUCUAUCUAUCUGUAUGCCAUAUCUAUCAAUCUGUGUCAUAUCUAUCUAUAUGCCAUAUCUAUAUAUGCCAUAUCUAUCUAUCCCAUAUCUAUCUGCCAUAUCUAUGUAUCUAUGCCAUUAUCUAUCAAUCCAAUAUCUAUCUAUCUGUAUGCCAUAUCUAUCAAUCUGUGUCAUAUCUAUCUAUAUGCCACAUCUAUCUAUAUGCCAUAUCUAUCUAUGCCAUAUCUAUCUGCCAUAUCUAUGUAUCUAUGCCAUUAUCUAUCAAUCCAAUAUCUAUCAAUCUAUCUAUCUAUCAAUCUAUCUAUCUAUCUAUCUAUCUAUCUAUCUAUCUAUCUAUCUAUCUGUAUGCCACAUCUAUCUAUCUAUAUGCCAUAUCUAUCCAUGCCCUAUCUAUUCCUGUGUCUAUCCCUCUAUCUAUGCUCUGUCUCUUUCCCAAAACAAGAUCCGGUACUCUCCCCCCUCCACUUAGCCCUAUUGUCAAAUGGCUCUGCUUAAACUGA
This 1041-nucleotide long non-coding RNA is filed under the name Anolis carolinensis (green anole). Its description in RNAcentral is "lncRNA (ENSACAG00000040896.1)". The record is from RNAcentral. Lineage: Eukaryota; Metazoa; Chordata; Lepidosauria; Squamata; Anolidae.